AUGGGAGAGAUGUUGGCUAAGGCUUGGGGAACUCAUCUUGGGAUUCCUUCACAUAUGGAUGUUUUUGCAGUUGAAGUUCCUAUAUACUAUAGACCACCUAGAGAUGGAGAAGUGGAGCUUGUAACGGGAUAUGCUCCGAUUUCUCAUCAAAUUUACAACAAAGUCGAGGAUUAUUACAAGUUUACGGAUGCUGUUAACCAACUCGUGGAUAAUGGGUUUGCAUGUGCUCUUCUUUCCCAUUGA
Molecule: non-coding RNA, 243 nt
Organism: Vicia faba (fava bean)
Lineage: Eukaryota; Viridiplantae; Streptophyta; Magnoliopsida; Fabales; Fabaceae
Source: the annotation of a GenBank genome assembly